CCAACAGGGAUUGCCCCAGUAACGGCGAGUGAAGCGGCAAAAGCUCAAAUUUGAAAUCCUGCGGGAAUUGUAAUUUGAAGGUUUCGUGGUCUGAGUCGGCCGCGCCCAAGUCCAUUGGAACAUGGCGCCUGGGAGGGUGAGAGCCCCGUAUGGCGCACGCCGACUCUUUGUACACCGCGGCUCCGACGAGUCGAGUUGUUUGGGAAUGCAGCUCUAAGUGGGUGGUAAAUUCCAUCUAAAGCUAAAUAUUGGCGAGAGACCGAUAGCGAACAAGUACAGUGAUGGAAAGAUGAAAAGCACUUUGAAAAGAGAGUGAAACAGCACGUGAAAUUGUUGAAAGGGAAGGGCUUGCAAGCAGACACGGUUUUACCGGGCCAGCGUCGAAAAGGGGGGAGGAACAAGAACUCGAGAAUGUGGCGCGCACCUUCGGGCGCGCGUGUUAUAGCUCGUGUUGACGCCUCCAUCCCUUUUCGAGGCCUGCGAUUCUAGGACGCUGGCGUAAUGGUUGCAAGCCGCCCGUCUUGAAACACGGAC
Molecule: ribosomal RNA, 534 nt
Filed under: Clavispora lusitaniae
Lineage: Eukaryota; Fungi; Ascomycota; Pichiomycetes; Serinales; Metschnikowiaceae
Description: partial large subunit ribosomal RNA
Rfam family: Eukaryotic large subunit ribosomal RNA
Source: RNAcentral